UACGUAGGGGGCAAGCGUUGUCCGGAUUUAUUGGGCGUAAAGAGCGUGUAGGCGGCCAGGUAGGUCUGCUGUGAAAACUCGAGGCUUAACCUCGAGCUGUCGGCGGAAACCAUCUGGCUAGAGUCCGGAAGAGGAGAAUGGAAUUCCCGGUGUAGCGGUGAAAUGCGCAGAUAUCGGGAAGAACACCCGUAGCGAAGGCGGUUCUCUGGGACGGUACUGACGCUGAGACGCGAAAGCGUGGGGAGCGAACAGG
This 253-nucleotide ribosomal RNA is filed under the name uncultured bacterium. RNAcentral describes it as "partial 16S ribosomal RNA". It matches the Rfam family "Bacterial small subunit ribosomal RNA", at positions 524 to 776 of the family's 1533-position model. The record is from RNAcentral.